RNAcentral lists this ribosomal RNA (253 nucleotides) under uncultured bacterium. RNAcentral describes it as "partial 16S ribosomal RNA". It matches the Rfam family "Bacterial small subunit ribosomal RNA", at positions 524 to 776 of the family's 1533-position model. The record is from RNAcentral.
UACGGAGGGUGCGAGCGUUGUCCGGAAUCAUUGGGCGUAAAGGGCGCGUAGGUGGCUUCUUAAGCGUGCGGUGAAAGCCUGGGGCUCAACCCCGGGUCGGCCGUGCGAACUGGGGGGCUGGAGCACUGUAGAGGCAGGCGGAAUUCCGGGUGUAGCGGUGGAAUGCGUAGAGAUCCGGAAGAACACCGGUGGCGAAGGCGGGUUGCUGGAGCCGGGCCGACGCUGAGACGCGAAAGCGCGGGGAGCGAACGGG